Euleptes europaea (tarantolino) is the source of this 378-nucleotide long non-coding RNA. RefSeq lists it as uncharacterized. The record is from RefSeq and is a predicted model, not a curated record. The transcript is spliced from 4 exons. Lineage: Eukaryota; Metazoa; Chordata; Lepidosauria; Squamata; Sphaerodactylidae.
UCUUAGGCUUUGGCCCCUCUAGGGAUUGGUGUUGCAACUGGAGAACAAUGCCAUAACAGAGUGAUAUUUAAGCAGCUCCUCCAGGCUCAGGCCUUGAGCUUUGUCCAAGUGGAUAGCUGCAGGCUGGGAAGCGUCAAUGAAAACUUGUCUGUGUUGUUGAUGGCUAAGAAGUUUCAAAUUCCUGUUUGUCCUCAUGCUGGAGGAGUUGGGCUUUGCGAGUUGGUGCAACACUUGAUAAUAUUUGACUACAUUUCAGUAUCUGGUAGCCUUAAGAAUAGGAUGUGUGAAUACGUAGACCAUCUGCAUGAACAUUUCAAGAAUCCUGUAGUAAUCGUGAAUGCAUCCUACAUACCACCCCAGGUAUUGCUGGCAUGGGCA